RNAcentral lists this transfer RNA (72 nucleotides) under Candidatus Aenigmarchaeota archaeon ex4484_224. RNAcentral's name for it is "tRNA-Asn". It matches the Rfam family "tRNA". From Rfam's summary of the family: Transfer RNA (tRNA) molecules are approximately 80 nucleotides in length. Their secondary structure includes four short double-helical elements and three loops (D, anti-codon, and T loops). Further hydrogen bonds mediate the characteristic L-shaped molecular structure. tRNAs have two regions of fundamental functional importance: the anti-codon, which is responsible for specific mRNA codon recognition, and the 3' end, to which the tRNAs corresponding amino acid is attached (by aminoacyl-tRNA synthetases). tRNAs cope with the degeneracy of the genetic code in two manners: having more than one tRNA (with a specific anti-codon) for a particular amino acid; and 'wobble' base-pairing, i.e. permitting non-standard base-pairing at the 3rd anti-codon position. RNAcentral also lists the same sequence under 1 other name. Lineage: Archaea; Nanobdellati; Candidatus Aenigmatarchaeota. The record is from RNAcentral.
GCCCGGGUAGCUUAGUGGUAGAGCGUCCGGCUGUUAACCGGGAGGUCGUGGGUUCGAAUCCCACCCCGGGCG